UGCCUCUGCCUUCCAAGUGCUGAGAUUAAAGACCUGCACCACCACCGCCUGGCUAGGUGUCAUCUCUAUGAGCUGCUGUCGCUGUACAACUAAGAGGAGCUUCGUCUACAAGCAAGCAGUUUUGCUGCAGUGUGAAUGUAUUUUGGACUUUGUACAUUUUCAGUAAAUCAGAGAGAACAAACUCCAUAACAAGAAGGGGCUAAAUGAGAUGUGGGGUUCCAAGGGCUGGAAAGACAAGAGUACUGCAGAGAG
This 252-nucleotide long non-coding RNA is filed under the name Meriones unguiculatus (Mongolian gerbil). Its description in RNAcentral is "lncRNA (ENSMUGG00000021190.1)". The record is from RNAcentral. Lineage: Eukaryota; Metazoa; Chordata; Mammalia; Rodentia; Muridae.